RNAcentral lists this ribosomal RNA (868 nucleotides) under Enterococcus faecium. RNAcentral's name for it is "bacterial SSU rRNA". It matches the Rfam family "Bacterial small subunit ribosomal RNA", at positions 29 to 867 of the family's 1533-position model. The record is from RNAcentral. Lineage: Bacteria; Bacillati; Bacillota; Bacilli; Lactobacillales; Enterococcaceae.
ACGAACGCUGGCGGCGUGCCUAAUACAUGCAAGUCGAACGCUUCUUUUUCCACCGGAGCUUGCUCCACCGGAAAAAGAGGAGUGGCGAACGGGUGAGUAACACGUGGGUAACCUGCCCAUCAGAAGGGGAUAACACUUGGAAACAGGUGCUAAUACCGUAUAACAAUCGAAACCGCAUGGUUUUGAUUUGAAAGGCGCUUUCGGGUGUCGCUGAUGGAUGGACCCGCGGUGCAUUAGCUAGUUGGUGAGGUAACGGCUCACCAAGGCCACGAUGCAUAGCCGACCUGAGAGGGUGAUCGGCCACAUUGGGACUGAGACACGGCCCAAACUCCUACGGGAGGCAGCAGUAGGGAAUCUUCGGCAAUGGACGAAAGUCUGACCGAGCAACGCCGCGUGAGUGAAGAAGGUUUUCGGAUCGUAAAACUCUGUUGUUAGAGAAGAACAAGGAUGAGAGUAACUGUUCAUCCCUUGACGGUAUCUAACCAGAAAGCCACGGCUAACUACGUGCCAGCAGCCGCGGUAAUACGUAGGUGGCAAGCGUUGUCCGGAUUUAUUGGGCGUAAAGCGAGCGCAGGCGGUUUCUUAAGUCUGAUGUGAAAGCCCCCGGCUCAACCGGGGAGGGUCAUUGGAAACUGGGAGACUUGAGUGCAGAAGAGGAGAGUGGAAUUCCAUGUGUAGCGGUGAAAUGCGUAGAUAUAUGGAGGAACACCAGUGGCGAAGGCGGCUCUCUGGUCUGUAACUGACGCUGAGGCUCGAAAGCGUGGGGAGCAAACAGGAUUAGAUACCCUGGUAGUCCACGCCGUAAACGAUGAGUGCUAAGUGUUGGAGGGUUUCCGCCCUUCAGUGCUGCAGCUAACGCAUUAAGCAC